This 253-nucleotide ribosomal RNA is filed under the name uncultured bacterium. Its description in RNAcentral is "partial 16S ribosomal RNA". It matches the Rfam family "Bacterial small subunit ribosomal RNA", at positions 524 to 776 of the family's 1533-position model. The record is from RNAcentral.
UACGAAGGAUGCAAGCGUUAUCCGGAUUCACUGGGUUUAAAGGGUGUGCAGGUGGGGUAAUAAGUCAGUGGUGAAAGCCCCCGACUCAAUCGGGGAACUGCCAUAGAUACUGUUAUUCUUGAGUGUGGUUGAGGUGGAUGGAAUAUGACAUGUAGCGGUGAAAUGCUUAGAUAUGUCAUAGAACACCGAUCGCGAAGGCAGUCCGCCAAACCAUUACUGACACUGAAACACGAAAGUGCGGGGAUCAAGCAGG